UCCUUUGGAAAAUACGAUAGCUGUCGGGUAUGCACCCCAGGCCCACGAGUAGACCUUGGACGGCCCACUAAGGGACGUACUCGGAUGUGAUCAGGACAAAGGGAUAGGCUUAUCCCACUCGGACUAGUCAAGUAUGUAUAUAGAAAACCACUCGGGUCAUACCGAGUAGAACUCUGUAAUUGUACUUGACUAGGACUUGGACUUGUAACCUUGCCCUCCCGUGUAUAUAAGGGUGGGCAGGGACCCCCCCCCCCAAAACAAAACAACUCCAAGUGCAUCUAAGAUCAAUACAAACACACAGGACGUAGGGUAUUACGCGAUCUAGCGGCCCGAACCUGUCUAAAUCGUGUUCCUUGCGUCACCAUUGAUUCCUUGAUUCUCGACGGCCCUUACCGCACAAAAGACCACCU
This 410-nucleotide long non-coding RNA is filed under the name Setaria viridis. RNAcentral describes it as "long non-coding RNA (SVIR_LNC010411)". Lineage: Eukaryota; Viridiplantae; Streptophyta; Magnoliopsida; Poales; Poaceae. The record is from RNAcentral.